GACGGAGGAUGCGAGCGUUAUCCGGAAUGAUUGGGCGUAAAGCGUCCGCAGGUGGCAGUUCAAGUCUGCUGUCAAAGACCGGGGCUCAACCUCGGAAAGGCAGUGGAAACUGAACAGCUAGAGUAUGGUAGGGGCAAAGGGAAUUCCUGGUGUAGCGGUGAAAUUCGUAGAUAUUCGGAGGAACACCAGUGGCGAAGGCGGCUCACUGGUCCAUUACUGACGCUGAGGUGCGAAAGCGUGGGGAGCAAACAGG
Molecule: ribosomal RNA, 253 nt
Filed under: uncultured bacterium
Lineage: Bacteria
Description: partial 16S ribosomal RNA
Rfam family: Bacterial small subunit ribosomal RNA
Source: RNAcentral